UUUUUUUUGGGAGAUUUGGUC
RNAcentral lists this non-coding RNA (21 nucleotides) under Caenorhabditis elegans. Lineage: Eukaryota; Metazoa; Nematoda; Chromadorea; Rhabditida; Rhabditidae. The record is from RNAcentral.